This 48-nucleotide non-coding RNA is filed under the name Trichobilharzia regenti. Lineage: Eukaryota; Metazoa; Platyhelminthes; Trematoda; Strigeidida; Schistosomatidae. The record is from RNAcentral.
AUCCAGACGACGAGUCCCAAAUGGGACGAAAUGCGUGUUGUCCUGGAU